This 720-nucleotide long non-coding RNA is filed under the name Chinchilla lanigera (long-tailed chinchilla). RNAcentral's name for it is "lncRNA (ENSCLAG00000027964.1)". Lineage: Eukaryota; Metazoa; Chordata; Mammalia; Rodentia; Chinchillidae. The record is from RNAcentral.
CCUUAAAUUAUGCUCAACCUCUUCAAAACAUAUAUUUAAACAAUAGAAAUAAACUUCCCUGGAGUCUGGCGACCAAUUUGGAAGCCAUUGGAAAGGAAGACAAUAAGUCCUGAUUACAUGCAAGGAUUCUCUGUGAUGUGAUAUCCCCUUUGCCAAGUCAUUUCGCUGUUUUUUUAUUUAAUUUCUUUCUUUUUUUUUUUAACAAACUUUCAUUCAUUUAUGGUCUUCCGCAACCUGCUAAUUUAACACUGGAGCGCGUUAUUGCAGUGUUAGGAGGAGAGAAAGAGGGAGAGAAAACAACAAUACUGCAAUGAUCCAAAUGAUACAGUAGAAUUAUAGCAAUUAUAGUUCUACUUGUGGAAGAAAACCUUGCUGAGAUCAGGCAAACAAACUGAAGCCUUGUGAGGAUAACAAGCCUUGGGAUUGACAGCCGGUGCUGGGAAGAGCCAGAGGGCACAAACAGAAAUAUUUGCCUCCCCCACCCCCCUUAACUCCAACCAGUCAAGGUUACCCUCCUCAAAUGUUGCUUUCAGAGUCUUAUCCACUUCAGGAUAUUCAGUUUAUGCAUACAUCGAGAUCUCUCCUCCUGGAAGUCUGGUAAUAGGAGGAAAGCAGCACCCUGAGGAAAGGCACUGUGCAAAGGGAUUGGUAAGUUGGAUUUCCCGGCAAGAUUCCCUCGUGUUUGCCAAUGUUUUCCUCUUCGGCGUGUCCUCCGCCUGA